This 409-nucleotide ribosomal RNA is filed under the name uncultured bacterium. RNAcentral describes it as "bacterial SSU rRNA". It matches the Rfam family "Bacterial small subunit ribosomal RNA", at positions 365 to 768 of the family's 1533-position model. The record is from RNAcentral.
UUGGCAUGGGGGGAACCCUGAUCAGCCUGCCGCGUGUGUGAAGAAGGCCUUUUGGUUGUAAAGCACUUUAAGCGAGGAGGAGGCUACUCUAGUUAAUACCUAGGGAUAGUGGACGUUACUCGCAGAAUAAGCACCGGCUAACUCUGUGCCAGCAGCCGCGGUAAUACAGAGGGUGCGAGCGUUAAUCGGAUUUACUGGGCGUAAAGCGUGCGUAGGUGGCCAAUUAAGUCAAAUGUGAAAUCCCCGAGCUUAACUUGGGAAUUGCAUUCGAUACUGGUUGGCUAGAGUAUGGGAGAGGAUGGUAGAAUUCCAGGUGUAGCGGUGAAAUGCGUAGAGAUCUGGAGGAAUACCGAUGGCGAAGGCAGCCAUCUGGCCUAAUACUGACACUGAGGUACGAAAGCAUGGGGAG